Molecule: ribosomal RNA, 465 nt
Filed under: uncultured bacterium
Lineage: Bacteria
Description: bacterial SSU rRNA
Rfam family: Bacterial small subunit ribosomal RNA
Source: RNAcentral
AUUGAACGCUGGCGGCAGGCCUAACACAUGCAAGUCGAGCGGUAGAGAGGUGCUUGCAUCUCUUGAGAGCGGCGGACGGGUGAGUAAUGCCUAGGAAUCUGCCUAGUGGUGGGGGAUAACGUUCGGAAACGGACGCUAAUACCGCAUACGUCCUACGGGAGAAAGCGGGGGAUCUUCGGACCUCGCGCCAUUAGAUGAGCCUAGGUCGGAUUAGCUAGUUGGUGAGGUAAUGGCUCACCAAGGCGACGAUCCGUAACUGGUCUGAGAGGAUGAUCAGUCACACUGGAACUGAGACACGGUCCAGACUCCUACGGGAGGCAGCAGUGGGGAAUAUUGGACAAUGGGCGAAAGCCUGAUCCAGCCAUGCCGCGUGUGUGAAGAAGGUCUUCGGAUUGUAAAGCACUUUAAGUUGGGAGGAAGGCAGUAGUUAAUACCUUGCUGUUUUGACGUUACCAACAGAAUAAG